This 263-nucleotide ribosomal RNA is filed under the name uncultured archaeon. RNAcentral's name for it is "partial 16S ribosomal RNA". It matches the Rfam family "Archaeal small subunit ribosomal RNA", at positions 719 to 982 of the family's 1478-position model. The record is from RNAcentral.
AGUCACUGACAUUAGAUACCCGGGUAGUCCCAGCCGUAAACAAUGUGCGUUAGGUGUGUCGGUAACCACGCGUUACUGAUACGCCGAAGAGAAAUCGUGAAACGCACCACCUGGGAAGUACGGCCGCAAGGCUGAAACUUAAAGGAAUUGCGGGGAGCACCACAACAGGUGGAGCCUGCGGUUUAAUUGGAUUCAACGCCGGACAUCUCACCGGAUAAGACAGCUGAAUGAUUGUCAAUCUGAAGGUUUUACAUGACUAGCUG